CACAGAUGAUUAUGGAAUAUCAGAGGGUGCCGUUGACAAUGGUGGGCCCAACUGAGAGUUUUUCUGGUUGUGCCUAUAUGAAAUCAAGGAUAAAAUUGGCAUCUUUGAAGGCCCACCCAGUGCCAAAGUCCUCACAUGCAACUGUAAAGCAAUGAAAGAAAAUAGAUACUUCCAUGCUGGCCAAAUCAUGGCAAUGUCAAUUGGCCAUGGGGGACAGAGUCCAUGUUUCCUGUCUGUCUUGUAUGAGUGUCUUCAAAAAGACCCAGACAGUGUGGCUCUAACCACUGAAUGUAUUACUGAUGUGGAAACAAGGUCCCAGGUGCAGUCGAUCUUAGAGGCUCAAACACAAUCAGAGUUGCCAAAUGCAGUGUGUCAGGCAGCCAGUUUAAUCAGUCUUGCUGGUCAUAAUGUCUGUAUAACACUUGACAACAAACAAGACACUGCCUUGGACUUGGCUCAGUGGUAUAUCCUCCAA
Long non-coding RNA from Thalassophryne amazonica, 475 nucleotides. RefSeq lists it as uncharacterized. Lineage: Eukaryota; Metazoa; Chordata; Actinopteri; Batrachoidiformes; Batrachoididae. The record is from RefSeq and is a predicted model, not a curated record. The transcript is spliced from 3 exons.